Bubalus bubalis (water buffalo) is the source of this 107-nucleotide small nuclear RNA. The record is from RefSeq and is a predicted model, not a curated record. Lineage: Eukaryota; Metazoa; Chordata; Mammalia; Artiodactyla; Bovidae.
GUGCUCGCUUUAGCAGCACAUAUACUAAAAUGGGAACAAUACAGAGAAGAUUAGCAUGGCCCCUACAUAAGGACGACACGAAAAUUCGUGAAGCGUUCCAUAUAAAA